RNAcentral lists this ribosomal RNA (420 nucleotides) under uncultured bacterium. RNAcentral's name for it is "bacterial SSU rRNA". It matches the Rfam family "Bacterial small subunit ribosomal RNA", at positions 355 to 775 of the family's 1533-position model. The record is from RNAcentral.
UGGGGAAUCUUGCGCAAUGGUCGAAAGACUGACGCAGCGACGCCGCGUGUGGGAGGACGCCUUUCGGGGUGUAAACCACUGUUGCCCGGGACGAACAGCCCUUUUCGAGGGGUCUGACGGUACCGGGUGAGGAAGCACCGGCUAACUCCGUGCCAGCAGCCGCGGUAAUACGGAGGGUGCGAGCGUUGUCCGGAAUCAUUGGGCGUAAAGGGCGCGUAGGUGGCCCGGUCAGUUCGUGGUGAAAGCGCGGGGCUCAACCCCGCGUCGGCCAUGAAUACUGCGGGGCUGGAGCACUGUAGAGGCAGGCGGAAUUCCGGGUGUAGCGGUGGAAUGCGUAGAGAUCCGGAAGAACACCGGUGGCGAAGGCGGCCUGCUGGGCAGUUGCUGACACUGAGGCGCGACAGCGUGGGGAGCAAACAG